CCAAUUUCAAUAUUUGUUAACGAUUAUUGUAUUUAGUUUUUACUCGAUUAAAACUCAUAAUUGAUCAAUCAAGAUCAUUCAGUUAAAUUUAAACACUUUCAUGCUAUGAAAGCAUCAUUGCUGCUGAUGUAACAAAAUGCUUAAUGAUAUGUUAACAUCAUAAAAUCUACCUUGAUAGGGUUCUUGCCAGUGAUCACCCUAUUCCUUCAAGACAAAUCACAAAGACCACAUUCAAGGAAGAAAACUUCCCUCUUUCAGCAUAUCACAUCUGGUUAAUUCUUCAAUUUCCUGUAAUUGAGAAGGGAAAAAGCAUAUGCGUAAACAGCUUCAAAUGAGGAAACUUCAACUAUGGAGGCUAAAAUGAUGAAGAAAUCGGUGGCAUUCGCUCCGUGAUCUUUGUUUUCAAACUCUGCAAGAUUGGCAACAACUUUGUUCAAACAAACACUAUCUUUCGAUUCUCGUAAAACCUCAACAGCUUCAGCCAUCUCAGUACAUCCUGUAAUAUUUAACGUAGCUGAAGCAUCUUUUCCUAAUGAAGUUAUGCUCUGACCUAAUUGCCCUGACCCAAUUAUAAUGACUGGUAUGCAGUGCCAUUAACUUUUCAAUGUACCUUUAGCUAAAGAUCAAUGAUGACAUGUAAUGUUGCAUCUUGUUGAUCAGUACAGGAGUGGAUUUUUGCAGAUUAGUAACCAGCCACUCAUAAUCCGACAAUGUAGCUUCAAAUAAAGGCUCCAAAAACUCACAUCUGGCCAGAAUUUCAGUCGGGGGUACUCCAGCAAUUAAGUUAUCGCCCUCCAAUUUGUUUUGUUUCAAGUCUUGAGGCAGCACGGAUUGCCUAUAAAGAGAAUACAAACUUAUUAGUCACAUUAUCGUGUUUACUGAUCGCUAAUAUGAAGGAGAUAACAAUGUGAAUAUCGAAGUAGAAUGGCAGGCAGCUAGCACCAGACUUGGGAACAACAACAGCAACACUAGACAUACGUUUGACAGCAGGAAGAACAUCACUAAUCCACCCAACAGCAACCCAUACAUCUCCAAUUGCAAAUGCCUUCAGAUGGUAUGUACUGUCAAACAGUCGAACCUAUGUAAAACCCAAUAAACGCAGAUGUUGUCAUAUUGUUACCAGUAUCGAUAAAGAUAUUAGCAUCUAAAACAAAUUAUUGUAUAAUAUAAACAAUGGGGAGGAGCAUGGGCAUUCUACAUAUUGUUAGACAUCUUGAAGCCCCCAUAAUAGGAUUGAUCAAAUGUUAGGUAACCUAAAAGAUGCGACAACUAUCUUUCAUAUUACAUGUGCCCUUAACUCAAACCGGGCAAAGUAUACAAUAACUAGAACUUAUAGAUGCCUACGCCAUACCAAAACUUUGUUGAAAUUUCCUGGAUCCACCUGAUUGCACCUACUAUCCCCCUUCAUUACAGCUAAUAACCACAUAAUUUAAUUUUUUUGAAAUUGGCAUGCCAGACAAAUUUGGUCAAUUACAAACAUAUUUCUGCCUAAAAAUGCAUCCAUCAAAGGACACUGACUUCUUGUUGUCACUUCAUUUUGUUAGUCUCUACUGCUCGCGCGUUCACAUUAAGUAAAUGAACCAAAUGGAGCCAAUUUACCCACACCACAUUAUAAUGGAUUUUCAUUGUUUUGGGUUUUUGUUAAUUUAAUGAGACAGAAUCUCACAUCCUUUGCCAUUUCUUCAGCUAAAUUUAGGAGCAAAAGCCUUUAUUGCAUCCAUCUCAGGAGAGAACACCAACAUAUGUGUUAAUAUGUAUGAAAAGGAAAAGACAACACUAACAUAUGCAUUUAUAUGUAUGAAAAGGAGAAGAAAACACUAACAUAUGCAUUCAUAUGUAUGAAGAAGCAGACUUUUACAAACAAAAUCAGUUGUCAGGCAAUAACAUGCAAUGACCAGAUAUNN
Molecule: long non-coding RNA, 1904 nt
Filed under: Citrus sinensis (sweet orange)
Lineage: Eukaryota; Viridiplantae; Streptophyta; Magnoliopsida; Sapindales; Rutaceae
Description: long non-coding RNA (CSIN_LNC005463)
Source: RNAcentral